AAGUUUCAUGCAACGAUUACUACACUGAAAGACCGACCUAUUGCUUACACUAUCAAAAAGUGGAGACCAUACUUACUUGAUCAACGGGUUGUGAUGCGUUGCAGAUAGUCUAUGGCUAAAGUGCUGAAAGAGAAGCUCCCCGAGAUUGAUGCUGCUCAGCCUUGAGGACAAGGCUGAUUUGAAGAGGGAGGAACUGUUAGGACCCUUUUUCUGAGCUUUUAAAUAAUGUUUAUU
Molecule: long non-coding RNA, 234 nt
Filed under: Musa acuminata (dwarf banana)
Lineage: Eukaryota; Viridiplantae; Streptophyta; Magnoliopsida; Zingiberales; Musaceae
Description: long non-coding RNA (MACU_LNC008020)
Source: RNAcentral